UGAGUAGGCGGUUAUAUAUGUCAGGUGUAAAAGGCUAUGGCUUAACCAUGGUUAGCACUUGAAACUGUAUGACUUGAGUGCAGGAGAGGUAAGCGGAAUUCCUAGUGUAGCGGUGAAAUGCGUAGAUAUUAGGAGGAACACCAGUGGCGAAGGCGGCUUACUGGACUGUAACUGACGCUGAGUCACGAAAGCGUGGGUAGCAAACA
This 206-nucleotide ribosomal RNA is filed under the name uncultured Eubacteriales bacterium. RNAcentral's name for it is "uncultured Clostridiales bacterium partial 16S ribosomal RNA". It matches the Rfam family "Bacterial small subunit ribosomal RNA", at positions 568 to 774 of the family's 1533-position model. Lineage: Bacteria; Bacillati; Bacillota; Clostridia; Eubacteriales. The record is from RNAcentral.